AUUGAACGCUGGCGGCAUGCUUUACACAUGCAAGUCGAACGGCAGCGCGGGCUUCGGCCUGGCGGCGAGUGGCGAACGGGUGAGUAAUGCAUCGGAACGUGCCCAGUCGUGGGGGAUAGCCCGGCGACAGCCGGAUUAAUACCGCAUCCGACCUGAGUGUGAACGCGGGGGACCGAAAGGCCUCGCGCUAUUUGCGCGGCCGAUGUCGGAUUAGCUAGUUGGUGGGGUAAAGGCUUACCAAGGCGACGAUCCGUAGCUGGUCUGAGAGGACGACCAGCCACACUGGGACUGAGACACGGCCCAGACUCCUACGGGAGGCAGCAGUGGGGAAUUUUGGACAAUGGGGGAAACCCUGAUCCAGCAAUGCCGCGUGCGGGAAGAAGGCCUUCGGGUUGUAAAACGCUUUUGUUAGGGAAGAAAUCCUCUGGGCUAAUACCCCGGGGGGAUGACGGUACCGGAAGAAUAAGCACCGGCUAACUACGUG
RNAcentral lists this ribosomal RNA (484 nucleotides) under uncultured bacterium. Its description in RNAcentral is "partial 16S ribosomal RNA". It matches the Rfam family "Bacterial small subunit ribosomal RNA", at positions 28 to 507 of the family's 1533-position model. The record is from RNAcentral.